UACGGAGGAUCCAAGCGUUAUCCGGAAUCAUUGGGUUUAAAGGGUCCGUAGGCGGUUUUGUAAGUCAGUGGUGAAAGCCCAUCGCUCAACGGUGGAACGGCCAUUGAUACUGCAAGACUUGAAUUAUUAGGAAGUAACUAGAAUAUGUAGUGUAGCGGUGAAAUGCUUAGAGAUUACAUGGAAUACCAAUUGCGAAGGCAGGUUACUACUAAUUGAUUGACGCUGAUGGACGAAAGCGUGGGGAGCGAACGGG
Molecule: ribosomal RNA, 253 nt
Filed under: uncultured bacterium
Lineage: Bacteria
Description: partial 16S ribosomal RNA
Rfam family: Bacterial small subunit ribosomal RNA
Source: RNAcentral